This 253-nucleotide ribosomal RNA is filed under the name uncultured bacterium. RNAcentral describes it as "partial 16S ribosomal RNA". It matches the Rfam family "Bacterial small subunit ribosomal RNA", at positions 524 to 776 of the family's 1533-position model. The record is from RNAcentral.
UACGGAGGGGGCUAGCGUUGUUCGGAAUUACUGGGCGUAAAGGGCGCGUAGGCGUUCUAUCAAGUCUUGUGUGAAAGCCCCAAGCCUAACUUGGGAAGUGCACAAGAAACUGGAAGAAUAGAGUUCCGGAGAGGAAGAUGGAAUUCCCGGUGUAGCGGUGAAAUGCGUAGAUAUCUGGAGGAACACCGGUGGCGAAGGCGGCAUCCUGGACCGGCAUUGACGCUGAGGCGCGAAAGCCAGGGGAGCAAACGGG